This is a long non-coding RNA of Scophthalmus maximus (turbot), 3469 nucleotides long. RefSeq lists it as uncharacterized. The transcript is spliced from 5 exons. NCBI's taxonomy places the organism in Eukaryota, Metazoa, Chordata, Actinopteri, Pleuronectiformes, Scophthalmidae. The record is from RefSeq and is a predicted model, not a curated record.
AGUCUGUUAUGAUCACCUCGGAGGUCACGUGGGGUCAGAAAAUCAGAAGGCUGAUUUAUUAUGAUCCGAUUAUUUAACUUUUCGAAAUAGUUGUGGCUACAAUGUGCACUUCCUCGUUGGCUGUGAGUUCUGCUGUGUCGGUGUUCUGGUGCCUGAUGGAGGACACCUGUGUGAAGCAGAGGAACAUAAUGAGUUUAAAACAGGAUCCGGUGUCACGGUAACAACAUUUAGCAGCGUCCCAUGAGGUCGUCGUCGCUCCGUCAAGCUUCUCUCCUUCAGCUGAACGGUGACUCUGGGACGCGGCAGCCCGUCGUUCAGCAGCGCCGUGUGUCUAAUGGCUGCUCGCCGAGGCUCCGGGGAUACAUGGGGCUACGAAAUGGAGCAGAGUUGGGCAGCAGAUGGCUGGUCUCCAAGCUCCCAGGAUCCCGCUCGGCUUCGCCAAACAGGAACAGGUGCUGGGGAAAAGUAGGAAGUGAGCUGUGGGCCCGAGCGGCAGCAGGAGACCCCUGACCAGCUGGCGAGGAGAAAGAUGGAACGACUUGGCAGCGGAAAAGAGGGAAAACCUGUAUAAUGUGGAAGAGAGAGGCCGACAUGAGAGGCAGCAACCCACUGCAUGAUGGGAGAUUAAUUCAAAUCUCCUCAAAUCAUAUUUGACACGUCUCGUGUCUCUGAAGGUCCCAGGAAGACGUCACCCGUCCAACAGAAUUAAAGACGAGCGUCACAGGGAGAAGAGCAUUUUGUUCAUAUUAGAAUCAAUUUAAUCAUAUUUUAUCACUUUUAUUUUCAUCAUGUAUCAUCUAAUAUUUUCUUUUAAUCUUCAAUUUUCCAUUUUAUUUCAGUUUUUUUAAUUUCACGAUUUUUGUUCCCAGCCCUGAAAUGUUCAACCACAUUAAAACUAAAGUUAUUAUUAUUUUCCCAAUAUCAAAUCAAAACUAACAGUAAAAGUUAAAAAAAGAGUGGUUUGACAUUUAGAGAAAUGCUCUUAUGGUCUUCUUUUGUUCAGAUGAAUACCUUUGCAUAGCGUUAUGCUAAGCUAAGCCUAGCUUAGCGUAAAGACAGGAAUUGGAGGGGAAACAGUUAGCUUCGCUCUGACCAAAGUUUAAAAAGACAAAACUCAGCGAAACAAAUAAAUGAUCUUACUGUUAAAUGUGUAGAUAUAAAGAGUAAAGACCCUAAAACAUUCUCCUCUAUGUAAAAACAGAUUUUCUGAAACUCUUUGAGGUGAACCUCUCAUUAGUCAGUAUUUUCCUGUGGUUGUAGAUGAACGAUGAAUUCCUUCCUGACACGAGUCAGUGUUUGUUCCAGAAGCGUCUGUGAGGAGAGCUCCUCUCCCUCCUGCUGCGUACAGACAAGACUCAGUGUGUUGAAGAGAUGGAGCGGGGCCCCGGCCUCAGUGUGGUGGGGGCCCUCCUCUCAGCGGGGGGCUCCUCUGAAGUCUGGAGCAGCUGCUGGGGCUCAGGUCGCGUCGCGUCCGGGCCCUCGGAGCUGGAGCCGAUCCUCGGAGCCGAGGGCAGAAUCAAAGCCGGCGGCGCCGCUGAGAGAACCGAGGAACUAUUGAUCAGCGGCCGCGAAGCGAUGUUCAACAUCAGAGGCCGUCGCAGACGAGGCGACACGAGAGAGCGAGAGGAGGGAGUUCACAAUGGAGCUGCUCAGCAGGGGGCCUCAUAUUCACUCACUCAUCUAUUCAUUUCAGUUUUAAUACAUUAAAAUGUUUAAUGUCAUGUUAAAUUUUAUUCACGAACAUCACCUUCCUGCUCACUAUAAAUACAAUGAAAUAGAAAUAUUAUAAUUUCCUCAUGUAUAUCACAUGCUGGUGAAAUAACACUGAGGUACGACAUCACUGACGCUUUUCUUAUUUCCUCAUAAUUAGUAAUAAUCUCGUCUUGUGGUCGUCGGCCUUUCAGAUUUCUGGCUGAAAUUCAUUAUCAUAUUUGAUUUAAUCAUUAUUGGUAACUGGCGGUGGUUUCCUCUCACGUGUCUCUUCUCUAAUUGGCCGCUCAGCAGACAGAUCUACGUGUCAAUUAGGCCUCGGCACAUGAAGCUUUAAUGAGGUUCAAUUAAAUGACGGGUCGUGUGGACAGCAGUUAGUCGGUGACAAGUUAAAAGGAAGCAGAACUGAUGUUUCCUAAUGAUCCAAAAUGCCGUCUCCAUUUCAAAAAAGGUGAAAGGUUUAAAGUUCUGUCUGGUUUUUCUUUCCAGUGUCUGUAUCUCUGUCUCUGGGCAACGUGAACGUCUUCUGAGUCUCUCGAGCGUCGGGCCUGUGGUUUGUGGCUGAAGAGUCUCUCCUGAAAGUAAAGAGGCCGAGUCUUCAGUCGUCUCCCCCUGCGACGCAGGCCGACACACAAACACACAGCUGCAGGUGGAAACACCUGCUGCACCGACUGAGCUCUGCAGCGGGAACAUGAGGAGCGAGCAGCCGCGCUGACAUCAGCACCGACGCUCCAUCACUGCGCUGCCGCUCUGACAUUUUUAUUUGUUUCCUCCAAAUGUGCGAUUGGCAAAGUGCGUCGCUGCAGCCUGAACCCGGAGCAGCGGCCAAGAGCGAAUCCUUCACUGCUGAUGAGACGAUACUCUGACAUUUGUGAGGGCCGAGUCUCGCAGAGGUCGACGUAAAUGUCAGCCAAGCACUGAAACACCGUCUGCUGUCGGAGCGACUGCUGCAGCCACAGACACGCGAUGAAACCACAGACCGGUGGUUCAUCCUGAAGGGAACAUGAAUAUUUCAACCACACAUCAUUGGAAUCCAUCAGACGUUUCAGUGUGAACCGAAGAAGAGGAGCGACUGACGAACCAACGGGUUCACCUGCACCUGACAAAGACGAACAACCUCCUGAUCAAGGCCUGUACAUUAUGAACUAAUGAGGAACAGAACUACGGUCUCAUGAUUAACGAUGGUUAUAUCUAAUAUGUAUCAACAGUCAAGAAAAGAUAUGAAAAGACUUUUUAAAACCCCUUUGUUCUCUGAGGUCGUGCAGAUGAUCUGAACUGACGUCACCCUCAACUGGCAAAAGGGAAGUCGACAGACCUGUUCAACCAAUAAUUAGCCUUUUUUCUUCUUCUUUUCAAACAGUCAGGAGACAUGAACUCAGACAGAUUUGAUGUCAGCUGGACGUUGGUUUUUAUGUCUUCGUGGACCUUGGGCCAGGCCUGCUCCGGCCAUCUGUCCACGAUGGCAGCCGCCGCCGCCGCUGAAGACAGGCCGGACGCUGACUGGACGCUGCCACUCGGCACUCACAGGAACGUUUCACAAGCUGCUCCCCUCAAACACAAACACACAACUUUCAUUUGUUCUGCCCCAAAGUUCACAGAAAGUCUCAGUGCCCCUGAACGGGGGGAAUGAAAUACCAACAUGCAACAGCCUGAUGAUAUUUAAUAAGGUCCAGUCUACCAUCAGUGAACAUGAAAGACAGAGUUCAUUAUUUCAGCUGCUGGUAAAAUUAAUCAAAUAAAUGUCAUCUUUUGAAACAUU